CUUGGUCAUUUAGAGGAAGUAAAAGUCGUAACAAGGUUUCCGUAGGUGAACCUGCGGAAGGAUCAUUAGUGAAUCUUCAAAGUCGGCUCGUCGGAUUGUGCUGGUGGAGACACAUGUGCACGUCUGCGAGUCGCAAACCCACACACCUGUGCAUCUAUGACUCUGAGUGCCGCUUUGCAUGGCCCCUCGAUUUGGGCCUGGCGCUCGAGUACUUUCACACACUCUCGAAUGUAAUGGAAUGUCUUGUUGUGCAUAACGUACAAACAGAAACAACUUUCAACAACGGAUCUCUUGGCUCUCGCAUCGAUGAAGAACGCAGCGAAAUGCGAUAAGUAAUGUGAAUUGCAGAAUUCAGUGAAUCAUCGAAUCUUUGAACGCACCUUGCACCCUUUGGUAUUCCGAAGGGUACGCCCGUUUGAGUGUCAUUGUAAUCUCACUACGAUCGACUUUUGUCUUUUCGUAUGUGGAUUUGGAUGUUGCCGUGAAUAAACAAACAGCUCGUCUGAAAUGCCUGAGUGUACCCCGCUUUGCGGCGUAUUCGGUGUGAUAAAUCUUCACCGGAGUUGAUCCCUUUAUGGGGGUCGCGUCUGUAACGGUGUGGCUCUAUGCUUCAAACCGUCUCCAAUCGAGACAAAAUUCUGACAAUUUGACCUCAAAUCGGGUGGGACUACCCGCUGAACUUAAGCAUAUCAAUAAGCGGAGGAAAAGAAACUAACAAGGAUUCCCCUAGUAACGGCGAGUGAAGAGGGAAAAGCUCAAAUUUUGAAUCUGGUGUCUUUGACUCCCGAGUUGUAAUCUAGAGAAGUGUUUUCCGUGUCGGACCGUGCACAAGUUCCCUGGAACGGGGCGUCAUGGAGGGUGAGAAUCCCGUAUAUGGCAUGGACUACCGAUGCUUUUGUGAUACACUCUCAACGAGUCGAGUUGUUUGGGAAUGCAGCUCGAAAUGGGUGGUAAAUUCCAUCUAAAGCUAAAUAUUGGCGAGAGACCGAUAGCGAACAAGUACCGUGAGGGAAAGAUGAAAAGCACUUUGGAAAGAGAGUUAAACAGUACGUGAAAUUGUUGAAAGGGAAACGUUUGAAGUCAGUCGCGUCGGCCGAGACUCAACCUCGCUCCUUGCUUGGUGCACUUCUCGGUUGACGGGUCAGCAUCAAUUUCGACCGUCGGAGAAAGGUCGAGGGAACGUGGCAUCUCUCGGGAUGUGUUAUAGCCCUCGAUUCGGAUACGACGAUUGGGAUUGAGGUAUGCAGCGUGCCUUUAUGGUCGGGGAAUCAACCCACGUAACACGCUCAGGAUGCUGGCAUAAUGGCUUUAAGCGACCCGUCUUGAAACACGGACC
RNAcentral lists this ribosomal RNA (1336 nucleotides) under uncultured fungus. Its description in RNAcentral is "eukaryotic LSU rRNA". The stretch from base 648 to 1336 matches the Rfam family "Eukaryotic large subunit ribosomal RNA", at positions 1 to 667 of the family's 3401-position model. Lineage: Eukaryota; Fungi. The record is from RNAcentral.